UACGGGGGGGGCAAGCGUUGUUCGGAAUUACUGGGCGUAAAGGGCUCGUAGGCGGCCAACUAAGUCGGACGUGAAAUCCCUCGGCUUAACCGGGGAACUGCGUCCGAUACUGGAUGGCUUGAGAUUGGGAGAGGGAUGCGGAAUUCCAGGUGUAGCGGUGAAAUGCGUAGAUAUCAAGAGGAACACCUGAGGUGAAGACGGGUUGCUGGGCCAACACUGACGCUGAGGCGCGAAAGCCAGGGGAGCAAACGGG
This 253-nucleotide ribosomal RNA is filed under the name uncultured bacterium. RNAcentral's name for it is "partial 16S ribosomal RNA". It matches the Rfam family "Bacterial small subunit ribosomal RNA", at positions 524 to 776 of the family's 1533-position model. The record is from RNAcentral.